Long non-coding RNA from Onychostoma macrolepis, 476 nucleotides. RefSeq lists it as uncharacterized. The record is from RefSeq and is a predicted model, not a curated record. NCBI's taxonomy places the organism in Eukaryota, Metazoa, Chordata, Actinopteri, Cypriniformes, Cyprinidae. The transcript has 3 exons.
GCAAGUUGGAGUUAAACUCUGCAGGACACCGGCCCUCCAGGACCGAGUUUGGGAACCCUUGCAUUAAAACAUUAGUUAUCCUGAACUGAAACGGGAGGAAUUGUGUUCCACUGCAGAAAGAGAGGAGUAUGCUCAGAUAAAGGUCGGGAUUCGUUCAGUUUAUCAAAUAAUCGCACCUUACUGGAGAGAUUCUGUGGAUACUGAGGACUACUUCAAGCAGUUAGAACUGAAAUAUUUUCAGCUUGUGAGAGAUAAUAACUAAAGACUGAAAGUUCAAUGACAACGCCAGGUCGACCUGAAGAGGAUGACAGGCAGCGGACGAAAACAGCCAGAUGUGCCUAAACUAAAUAAACAUCAUCAUCUGGCCACACUUUUGACAGUAUUGUGCACUGAAGUGAGGGACUACAGGGAUGGAGUAUUAAGAAUUAUUAACAAGUCACAUGGUGUAACAUUUUCCUCACACCUUGAAUAAAUGU